UUCCUGGCCAUGUGAGUUUGUGCACGGGUCGAGGGUGCUUUGCUGCGUUUGUGUGGACAUCUUGUGUGCCGCUGUGCCAUUGAUGUGUGUGUGUUCUUUUCCUCUUUUUUUGUUCUGUAGUGGAGAGAGAUACUGUGGACUGUAUGUGACGCCCUUUUCUUUUUGUCCCUAUGAAAAAGCUGGUGAAUAAAUCCUCCUCAACUCAAAUCCUGUGUGUUCAUCACGAAAAAAAGACACAACGAAGAACAGUGACUGUUACAUAUGUAAGAGUACUUUGUACACACUAGAAGAAAGAGUACCUGUGAGUACUUGAAAGCUGCAAUCAGUUCGCAGCGAAAAUGUAUGUCUUCUCAUACAUCGGAAUGAUGUGCAGGUUGUACACUGCCUUCCGCCCGAUUGUAGCUGAGAUAGGCCCCAGCGCCCCCCGCGACCCCAAAGGGAAUAAGCGGAACCUGCUUGCUGGGCUGUACUGGAAUGAAAACUCGAGCCGCCUUAUAGCCACUAGACAAGUGGGUGCUGAGCGCUAUACAGUACGCUACCCGAAGUAUAAAGCAGGGGGCCAUGUUGGCAAGAAAAUCGCGACAGAGCCAACAUACCGCUAUGUAGAAGAAUUGAUCAGGGAGGUUUUUGCUGGCUGCAGACAGACCCCUGAUGAGAGAACACCAGUCAGCGUCACCGUGGAUGUGCCUCCCUUCCUCUGCGAUGAACUGGGGAAGCCAGACAAGGAGGAAGCCAUCGCCAAGCACAGGAGUCGCUUCGCUAAGUGUUAACUACAGUGGCCAUGUGGAUUCUGUUGCAGUCACGGCACGUCUUGGAACCCUGUGUAGUCCAUCGAUGGAAAUGUUGUUCUAAUUUCAUGUACUACACAAGCUGGUAGUGCCACCUUUAUUCAUCUCCUUUCCCAGAUAUCCCCAGCAGAAGCGGACAAACUGUCGAUAUGCUGUGUAUCGUCUCCACCUGGAAGUACAAAAUAGUUAAAAGUAAAUUACGGCACCUGUUAUUAUACAGACAUGGAUACACAGUGACUCACUGUUCUCUGAGAUGCAAAAGAUAUUGUCAUGCAUUCUAUUCAUUUGUCAUUUACUAUUGCAGUAAAUCGUAAAUAUUGUUGACAUCUACGGUCCAUGUAUGUAAUACUUCUAUGAUAUAUAAUGUCAUGUACAUUGUAGCUCAGUACAUUUCACAGAAUAAGAAUAAGAAAGUGCUC
Nerophis ophidion (straightnose pipefish) is the source of this 1207-nucleotide long non-coding RNA. RefSeq lists it as uncharacterized. The record is from RefSeq and is a predicted model, not a curated record. The transcript is spliced from 7 exons. NCBI's taxonomy places the organism in Eukaryota, Metazoa, Chordata, Actinopteri, Syngnathiformes, Syngnathidae.